Aegilops tauschii subsp. strangulata is the source of this 1191-nucleotide long non-coding RNA. RefSeq lists it as uncharacterized. The record is from RefSeq and is a predicted model, not a curated record. Lineage: Eukaryota; Viridiplantae; Streptophyta; Magnoliopsida; Poales; Poaceae.
CAAAAUUGCAUCUCGAAAACUUCUCGGUGUACUUUCCAGACUCUUUGGGUGAAAACCAUGAGUUUGGUCUUCUAGUGCAAUCUCUUGACUAUAGAUAAUAGGCAUACAGACUGUACAUAAAAUAUGUUGUAGGUAGGCCGAACAAGAAGCACCAGUGGUCUAGUGGUAGAAUAGUACCCUGCCACGGUACAGACCCGGGUUCGAUUCCCGGCUUGGUGCAUUUUUACUUUUUUUUAUCCACUUGGCAUGGGAUGGCAAGGAAGGAUUUUUAAUACAUGGCCUUUUGCAUUUGCGCACGUUCCCUUUUUUAAGCUGAUUUUCAAUUUGCUUGGUUAGUCUUCCUCCCAAAAGAUGAGUGACUUGGCACAAGAUAUAUCUGUGCGGUAAAAUCAGUUUGUAGACUUGUUUCAAACCAAAAAAUCGGUUUGUAGAGAGAGGGGCAUUUUGGUGGCCGAGCUACCUGGAGGCCGGUAUCUGGGCCGUGGUUUAUCGCGCCAUGAUGUGUGCUGCUUUAUUUUCGUUUUCUUAUACAGUCGCCAUUAAGUUGAAAUACAUCGGUGCCAUGAUCUCGGGUGCUGCUUUGUACACGGGCCUGAUGUUCAGUGUUUUCUGCACAGACGUCAUGUACCUCCUGGGCUGCUUUAAAUGUCGCACGAGUAGGUGGGUUGUUGGGUGAUUAAUAAUGUUUCUAUGGGCCCAUGUGAACCUGCAGAUAGCUUCCAUUUACUUCGAGAGUGAACAGCUUUUCUGCCUCGCUAGGCCCGACGGCCAUUCAUCGUUUCUCGUGGCAGCUAGGUUUGCGACGGAUCGCUAUGGAUGGGCUGGAGUUCUUCUUCGAGGAAGCCAAAUCAGGUGGUUCGUUGCAGAUUGACUCCCAGGGUGGAGGUCGGUGAUCUUUUAGGGGGCGGGGGGGAUAUCGCUGCUGUGGAAUUGGUCGUUGCUCGAACCCAAGCAAGAUUUUCAAGAUUGAUUUUCAGUACUGCUUGUGCUUGAAAUUCAGUUUACUAGCUGAAUAAUCAGCUGUUUGUCAAAUGGAAGAUUUUCAGAACUGCUUGUGCUUGCGUAGUUGUGAGCUUGUUUCUAUGUUUGUGUCGCUGUCGUGCAUCACUUGUUUAAAAAAAAUCAUGUAAUGCACUGACUUUGUCAUGGUGCUCUGUUCAAGAGUGUGAGUAACUGUAUCAGCGAUUGGAA